CGAGCGAGACCUUCGGGUCUAGCGGCGGACGGGUGAGUAACGCGUGGGAACGUGCCCUUCUCUACGGAAUAGCCCCGGGAAACUGGGAGUAAUACCGUAUACGCCCUUUGGGGGAAAGAUUUAUCGGAGAAGGAUCGGCCCGCGUUGGAUUAGGUAGUUGGUGAGGUAACGGCUCACCAAGCCGACGAUCCAUAGCUGGUUUGAGAGGAUGAUCAGCCACACUGGGACUGAGAAACGGCCCAGACUCCUACGGGAGGCAGCAGUGGGGAAUCUUAGACAAUGGGGGCAACCCUGAUCUAGCCAUGCCGCGUGAGUGAUGAAGCCCCUUAGGGUUGUAAAGCUCUUUCAGCUGGGAAGCAUAAUGACGGUACCAGCAGAAGAAGCCCCGGCUAACUCCGUGCCAGCAGCCGCGGUAAUACGGAGGGGGCUAGCGUUGUUCGGAAUUACUGGGCGUAAAGCGCACGUAGGCGGACUGGAAAGUCAUGGGUGAAAUCCCAGGGCUCAACCUUGGAACUGCCUUUGAAACUAUCAGUCUGGAGUUCGAGAGAGGUGAGUGGAAUUCCCGAGUGUAGAGGUGAAUGUCGUAGAUAUUCGGAGGAACACCAGUGGCGAAGGCGGCUCACUGGCUCGAUACUGACGCUGAGGUGCGAAAGCGUGGGGAGCAAACAGGAUUAGAUACCC
Molecule: ribosomal RNA, 681 nt
Filed under: Paracoccus hibiscisoli
Lineage: Bacteria; Pseudomonadati; Pseudomonadota; Alphaproteobacteria; Rhodobacterales; Paracoccaceae
Description: bacterial SSU rRNA
Rfam family: Bacterial small subunit ribosomal RNA
Source: RNAcentral